This 445-nucleotide ribosomal RNA is filed under the name uncultured bacterium. Its description in RNAcentral is "partial 16S ribosomal RNA". It matches the Rfam family "Bacterial small subunit ribosomal RNA", at positions 29 to 523 of the family's 1533-position model. The record is from RNAcentral.
AACGAACGCUGGCGGCAGGCCUAAACAUGCAAGUCGAACGAACCUUCGGGUUAGUGGCGCACGGUGCGUAACGCGUGGGAAUAUACCUCUGGGUGCGGAACAACGUCUGGAAACGGACGCUAAUACCGCAUAAUAUCUACGGAUCAAAGAUUUAUCGCCCAGAGAUUAGCCCGCGUCUGAUUAGCUAGUUGGUGAGGUAAUGGCUCACCAAGGCGACGAUCAGUAGCUGGUCUGAGAGGAUGAUCAGCCACACUGGAACUGAGACACGGUCCAGACUCCUACGGGAGGCAGCAGUUGGGAAUAUUGGACAAUGGGGGAAACCCUGAUCCAGCCAUGCCGCGUGAGUGAAGAAGGCCUUAGGGUUGUAAAGCUCUUUCGGCUGUGAAGAUAAUGACAGUAGCAGAAGAAGAAGCUCCGGCUAAAUUCGUGCCAGCAGCCGCAGUAA